This 254-nucleotide ribosomal RNA is filed under the name uncultured bacterium. Its description in RNAcentral is "partial 16S ribosomal RNA". It matches the Rfam family "Bacterial small subunit ribosomal RNA", at positions 524 to 776 of the family's 1533-position model. The record is from RNAcentral.
UACGUAGGGGGCAAGCGUUGUCCGGAAUUAUUGGGCGUAAAGAGCUCGUAGGCGGUGUGUCGCGUCGGCCGUGAAAACCUGCAGCUUAACUGUGGGCUUGCGGUCGAUACGGGCAUCACUGGAGUUCGGCAGGGGAGACUGGAAUUCCUGGUGUAGCGGUGAAAUGCGCAGAUAUCAGGAAGAACACCGGUGGCGAAGGCGGGUCUCUGGGCCGAUACUGACGCUGAGGAGCGAAAGCGUGGGGAGCGAACAGG